Cornus florida is the source of this 402-nucleotide long non-coding RNA. RefSeq lists it as uncharacterized. The transcript has 2 exons. NCBI's taxonomy places the organism in Eukaryota, Viridiplantae, Streptophyta, Magnoliopsida, Cornales, Cornaceae. The record is from RefSeq and is a predicted model, not a curated record.
UUGAUAGUAACGAUCCUCCUCAAAGUGAUGGUGAAGAUGAUGAGAUUGUUGAGCAUGUGCCUUCGGCUCAGCUUCGAGAAAUGGAUCAGUUGCGUAAUACUAUUGCUGAUCGAAUUUGGAAUUCUCUUUAGCACUUUUGAUCCUUCUGAAAGUGAUGAUAUGAAGUGUGUUGAUGUUCUCUUAAAGGCCACAUGUGCUGUUAUGAAGAUGAUGUGUCGUUGCCAUUGUCAUCCACUUUAUGAACUUCUUAUCAAUUUUUACUGACAACUAUGUAUUGUUAAUGCUUUGUUCCAAACAUUUUAUGUACAACUUAAACUUGUUUAAUUUGUUGGUUGAAUAUUUAAAGACUUGUAAAUGGUAUACACUCUAUUUCAAUUAUGCUUUCAGUUGGGUUUGUUUUUA